GCAGCCGCGGUAAUACGGGGGAUGCAAGCGUUGUCCGGAAUCAUUGGGCGUAAAGAGUUCGUAGGUGGCCUGUUAAGUCUGGUGUUAAAUGCAGAGGCUCAACUUCUGUUCGGCACUGGAUACUGGCAAGCUUGAAUGCGGUAGAGGUAAAGGGAAUUCCUGGUGUAGCGGUGAAAUGCGUAGAUAUCAGGAGGAACAUCGGUGGCGAAAGCGCUUUACUGGGCCGUAAUUGACACUGAGGAACGAAAGCCAGGGUAGCAAAUGGGAUUAGAUACCCC
This 278-nucleotide ribosomal RNA is filed under the name uncultured bacterium. Its description in RNAcentral is "partial 16S ribosomal RNA". It matches the Rfam family "Bacterial small subunit ribosomal RNA", at positions 511 to 788 of the family's 1533-position model. The record is from RNAcentral.